The submitters of this non-coding RNA (36 nucleotides) gave its source as unclassified sequences. The record is from Rfam.
AUUAAUAAUCGAGGUCGUGAACCUCACUAAUUAAAU